GCAUGCCAUCUGCAGUGGGGAGGAGCCUGGCCCCUCCUCUUCCUGUGUGGAACCUGGGAAUCAAGUAGCCGGCUUGCCUUGCGGAGGAUCCUGCUUCCCCCUCCUCCACCCCAUUUUUUUCCUUUCACCCAGUAAAACCCUGUUUAACUCACCCUUCAAACCGUCUGCGAGGCUACGUUUUCGUGGCCACGGGACGGACAAGGACCCCAUCUUUAGCUGAACUACGGAAAAGCCCUGCAACACCACCAUCUCAUCGCUGACUUGGAAAUAAGCUAGCAGUGGCUGUGUCAGCAAGACCACCACAUGCAGCAAGGGUGGCCACUUCCAGCUAGCUCCUGCAUCCACAGCUGCCUCGCCCCUAUUGGCUACUGCCAUCCAUGUAACAGACUCUUGGGAAAUAUGCUCGGCUGAAAAACUGCAUUUCCCAACUCAAGACCUAAGAGGUGGUCAGGAGAUACAAGCAGGAGUCCUUGGAUGAGAUCUGUUUCCCAGAGCCAUCAUGUGCAAGACUAAUUUCGCUCUCCAUAUGAAAAGUCUUCAAGUAUUUGAAGACUGGCUGGCCAUCCUGCACACCCUGAAUCUUCACUCCUCUGGCUGCGCAUCUGGAGUGACGGAGCCCCUCCCUCGCUGUGCUUCAGCUUGUUCCUUCCCUUCUUCAGUGGGACUCCAAGGAACGAAGGUCAUAUUGCAAGUACACUUCUGUUUUUGUGGCCAUCCUCUGAUACAACCAUGUUCGGCAGGAGUCACUUGGCAACUUUCAGCUGGUGGAUGGACUGAUCUGGAGGAUCUGAGAUUGUUUCACUCACAUGCCCAGUGCCUUGCAAGGCUGGCUGAAGGGCUGGGAUCAGUGGGGCCUGGGAGGCAGAGAGCUCACCUACAGCGUCUCCAGCGUGGCAACCCCAGGGCAUCAGAACUUCUCACGUGGCACCUCAGGACUCCAGGAGCGACUGCUGCCACAAUCCAGGAGGCACUGUAUGGCCUCUGUGACUUGGCCUCAGAAGUCACACCAUGUCACAACCUUUGCACUUUGUUGGCCGAGGCAGUCACAAGGCUGCCCAGAUUCAAGGAGAGGAGACAUAGACUCUACCUCUUAGAUGGAAGAGGCAUCAAAGAAUUUGCAGCCAUUUUUAAAACAGCCAGUUUUCUUUGACUGCAUGCUUUUAUUUUCCCCUGUAAUCAUUCUCAGAGUGAGAUCUCUAUAUAGUAGGUGCUGUCAAAUGACACGGGGGAGUGUCUUUCUCAGGUCUCUUACUGGGAGGUACAGCACUGGUGUAGAUGGGUCUUUCCUCCCUGCUGUGUGUAGAAGGCUGUCACCUGGGCUGCACCAUUCUGGAUGCCACACUAUUACUGACCCAGUCUAAGACAUGAUUAACCCCUUUGGAGACAAUGUAACAUUGCCGACCCACAUCAAGCUCACUGUAUACUACAGUCUCAGCUCUUCUUCUUGCUUGCUUGGAAGUACCUGCCCUACCUGUCAGCUGCUAGUGACCCCCGACCCAUGAACAGUCCAUACCACAGUCUUCUCAUGCUCAACACCAAGCUCAUUUGAUUUCAGUUGGUACAUUUUUGUUCUUCCUCUUUAUGAGGUUCCUCAAAUCCAGGCCUGGGGAAGGCAUCUCUCUGCUGCUCCAUGACCGUCCAUGAGUCAUGGAGAGUGGCCCUGUGAUCUCAGAGGGGUUUUCAAAACCAGAGUGUGUUUGCCAACAAAAAUGAUCAACAUUGAUUGGAGGGCUGGAGAAGGAGUUAUAGAGUCUGGAAAGUGAGCCAGCUAAAUCUUCAUCUUCGAAAAUGGAGAGGUUGUAGAUAAUGUCUGAAGUUGACAGAGCAAGGAAGGACAUUCUAUAAACAUAUUACUGUAUUUGGAGUUAUGCAGGUAGCCACUGAAAAACUAAGAACAGAAAUGCUUCAAACUGGUUGCCUCUGGAAAGAGAGCUGGGAGGAAGAGUGGGCUGGGAGAGACCAGCUCUCCUCAUGCUUAGCCGUGCAGUGCAAUGUAGUAUUUUACCUUGUGCAUGGAUUUUGUAAUAAGAAAUAGCGAUGUGCAUUUGGAUAUUAAAAACAUUACACAACAA
Molecule: long non-coding RNA, 2072 nt
Filed under: Homo sapiens (human)
Lineage: Eukaryota; Metazoa; Chordata; Mammalia; Primates; Hominidae
Description: HSALNT0399890
Source: RNAcentral